UCUGAAGAUCAGAACAUCAGAAGAUGCUUAAGAUGUUCCUCAAAUUCACUUUAGAUGAGCUCUUACAUCCGUAGCAGUGAAGUUCUGGUCUCUUGCUUUAUCUUGAUUGGCUGGGAAGGGCCAGAAGUGAAGCAGGACUGAGUGAAGCAGCGCAGACGCUCUCAUUCGGAGAUUAGGCAACAGAAGGACCGGAGUCUGUGAACUCUUGAGGCUCCCGCUCUCAUCCAGACCAGAGCAGCCGCAUCGGACAAUCAACAGGAAAUCCAGCGUGAGGACAGAAAACGCUAUGAGUGAGAGGAGCUGCGGUGGCCUGAGGGACACGGCGUGACGUGCUGGAGCUCUGUUCUUGGACAGGUGAAUAUUGAGCCGUGUUUAUGCCGCUCGCGGGGAGAAGAGCGGUGCUCAGAGUUCAGCUCUGGAUUCUUAUUGUGCUUCUCUACAGCGGUCAGGUCAUGGGCUCCAUGCUGGAUGAGCUGAUCUAUAAACGUGGUGAAUAUCAAGAGAACUGCACACGAUUCCUGAAAGCCA
Molecule: long non-coding RNA, 528 nt
Organism: Sinocyclocheilus rhinocerous
Lineage: Eukaryota; Metazoa; Chordata; Actinopteri; Cypriniformes; Cyprinidae
Exons: 3
Source: RefSeq, a predicted model, not a curated record